ACACGUGGAUAACCUACCCUUGGGACUGGAAUAACCCCGGGAAACUGGGGAUAAUACCGGAUAGAUCAGGGAUGCUGGAAUGCACCUUGAUCCAAAGCUCCGGCGCCCAAGGAUGGGUCUGCGGCCUAUCAGGUAGUAGUGGGUGUAACGUACCUACUAGCCAACGACGGGUACGGGUUGUGAGAGCAAGAGCCCGGAGAUGGAUUCUGAGACACGAAUCCAGGCCCUACGGGGUGCAGCAGGCGCGAAACCUUUACAAUGUGCGAAAGCAUGAUAAGGGAACUCCGAGUGCCAGUAUCUAAUACUGGCUGUCCUUGUGCCUAAAACGCACAAGAUAGCAAGGGCCGGGUAAGACCGGUGCCAGCCGCCGCGGUAACACCGGCGGCCCGAGUGGUAGCCGCUAUUAUUGGGUCUAAAGGGUCCGUAGCCGGUUCGAUAAGUCCUCUGGGAAAUCUGGUUGCUUAACAAUCAGACUGCCAAGGGAUACUGUCGAACUUGAGACCGGGAGAGGUAAGAGGUACUUCAGGGGUAGGAGUGAAAUCUUGUAAUCCCUGGGGGACCAUCUGUGGCGAAGGCGUCUUACCAGAACGGGUCUGACGGUGAGGGACGAAAGCUGGGGGCGCAAACCGGAUUAGAUACCCGGGUAGUCCCAGCCGUAAACGAUGCUCGCUAUGUGUCAGGUACGGUGUGACCGUAUCUGGUGCCGUAGGGAAGCCGUGAAGCGAGCCACCUGGGAAGUACGGCCGCAAGGCUGAAACUUAAAGGAAUUGGCGGGGGAGCACUACAACGGGUGGAGCCUGCGGUUUAAUUGGAUUCAACGCCGGAAAUCUUACCGGGGGAGACAGCAGCAUGAAGGUCAGGCUGAAGACCUUACCAGAUCCGCUGAGAGGAAGUGCAUGGCCGUCGUCAGUUCGUACUGUGAAGCAUCCUGUUAAGUCAGGCAACGAGCGAGACCCGUGCCCACAGUUGCCAGCAUACCCUUCGGGGUGAUGGGUACUUUGUGGGGACCGCCGCUGCUAAAGCGGAGGAAGGAGCGGGUUACGGUAGGUCAGUAUGCUCCGAAACUCCCGGGCUACACGCGGGCUACAAUGGUUGGG
RNAcentral lists this ribosomal RNA (1097 nucleotides) under uncultured archaeon. Its description in RNAcentral is "bacterial SSU rRNA". It matches the Rfam family "Archaeal small subunit ribosomal RNA", at positions 96 to 1194 of the family's 1478-position model. The record is from RNAcentral.